This 473-nucleotide ribosomal RNA is filed under the name uncultured bacterium. Its description in RNAcentral is "bacterial SSU rRNA". It matches the Rfam family "Bacterial small subunit ribosomal RNA", at positions 355 to 825 of the family's 1533-position model. The record is from RNAcentral.
UGGGGAAUUUUGGGCAAUGGGCGAAAGCCUGACCCAGCAACGCCGCGUGCAGGAUGAAGGCCCUCGGGUCGUAAACUGCUGUCGGGAGGGAAGAAAAGCAGCGGGAGGAAAUGACCGCUGCCUGACGGUACCUCCAAAGGAAGCGCCGGCUAACUCCGUGCCAGCAGCCGCGGUAAUACGGAGGGCGCAAGCGUUGUUCGGAAUUAUUGGGCGUAAAGAGCUCGUAGGCGGUUCGGUAAGUCAGGUGUUAAAACUCCAGGCUCAACUUGGAGAGGCCACCUGAUACUGCCAUGACUAGAGUUCGGUAGAGGAGCACGGAAUUCCUGGUGUAGCGGUGAAAUGCGCAGAUAUCAGGAGGAACACCAGCGGCGAAGGCGGUGCUCUGGGCCGACACUGACGCUGAGGAGCGAAAGCGUGGGUAGCGAACAGGAUUAGAUACCCGGGUAGUCCCUGAGCGGGCUGGCAAGGCGCAU